GACGAACGCUGGCGGCGUGCUUAACACAUGCAAGUCGAACGGAAAGGCCCUGCUUUUGUGGGGUGCUCGAGUGGCGAACGGGUGAGUAACACGUGAGUAACCUGCCCUUGACUUUGGGAUAACUUCAGGAAACUGGGGCUAAUACCGGAUAGGAGCUCCUGCUGCAUGGUGGGGGUUGGAAAGUUUCGGCGGUUGGGGAUGGACUCGCGGCUUAUCAGCUUGUUGGUGGGGUAGUGGCUUACCAAGGCUUUGACGGGUAGCCGGCCUGAGAGGGUGACCGGCCACAUGGGGACUGAGAUACGGCCCAGACUCCUACGGGAGGCAGCAGUGGGGAAUAUUGCACAAUGGGCGGAAGCCUGAUGCAGCAACUCCGCGUGCGGGAUGACGGCCUUCGGGUUGUAAACCGCUUUCGCCUGUGACGAAGCGUGAGUGACGGUAAUGGGUAAAGAAGCACCGGCUAACUACGUG
RNAcentral lists this ribosomal RNA (468 nucleotides) under uncultured bacterium. RNAcentral's name for it is "partial 16S ribosomal RNA". It matches the Rfam family "Bacterial small subunit ribosomal RNA", at positions 28 to 507 of the family's 1533-position model. The record is from RNAcentral.